GCUAAGAAGCCAGCGCCAGCAAAAAAGCAAAGGUUGCAGCUGCGCCCACUAAGAAGGCUGCACCCAUAAAGGAGUUGCCAAGCCUCCAAACAAGAAUGUGAAGAGACUAGGAGGCAAGGACCCUAAGAAGGGCAAGGGUGUGUUAGCAGUCAAGAAGGCUAGGAAGAUGGCAACCAAGGUUGUCAAUGGGCCCCGUGGUACCCGCGUGAAGAAGAUCAGAACCAACAUCCGCUUCCGCAGGCCCAAGACCCUUGAACUGCCAAGGAACCCAAGUACCCAGAAAGUCAACCCCCAGAAAGCCAAAAAUGGAUUGCUUCAAAAUCAUCCAGUAUCCUCUCACCACUGAUCUGCCAUGAAGCUGAUUGAGGAUAACAACACCUUGGUAUUCAUUGUGCACCGCAUGGCCAAUAAAAACCAUAUCAAGGCUGCUGUCAAGAAGCUGUAUGAGAUUGAUGCAGUUCGUGUGAAUACGCUCCACAGACCUGAUGGCUUGAAGAAGGCAUACGUAAAACUUGCACCAGAUUACGAUGCCCUCGAUGUUGCUAACAAGAUCGGUAUCAUAUAAAUGAUUAUAAAGUGGUUACAAGGACA
RNA transcript from Penaeus monodon (black tiger shrimp), 591 nucleotides. It is a transcript of the gene named 60S ribosomal protein L23a-like, with no coding region annotated. The transcript has 4 exons. NCBI's taxonomy places the organism in Eukaryota, Metazoa, Arthropoda, Malacostraca, Decapoda, Penaeidae. The record is from RefSeq and is a predicted model, not a curated record.